UGGAUAGCUCAGUCAGUAGAGCAUGAGACUCUUAAUCCCAUGGUCAUGGGUUUGGGCCCACCGUUGGAUGAA
Molecule: transfer RNA, 72 nt
Filed under: Podarcis lilfordi (Lilford's wall lizard)
Lineage: Eukaryota; Metazoa; Chordata; Lepidosauria; Squamata; Lacertidae
Description: tRNA.Lys
Source: RNAcentral